Non-coding RNA from Canis lupus familiaris (dog), 89 nucleotides. The record is from Rfam. NCBI's taxonomy places the organism in Eukaryota, Metazoa, Chordata, Mammalia, Carnivora, Canidae.
CGGGGGAGGCCGGAUCCUGGGCUGUGUCCCGGCGCCCUGUGCUCCGGGGCCUGCGCUGUUGGAUUCGCGCUCCCGGGCCGCAGCCCCCU